RNAcentral lists this long non-coding RNA (1116 nucleotides) under Bos indicus x Bos taurus (hybrid cattle). RNAcentral's name for it is "lncRNA (ENSBIXG00000004319.1)". Lineage: Eukaryota; Metazoa; Chordata; Mammalia; Artiodactyla; Bovidae. The record is from RNAcentral.
AUGACCAGCACGGCCUCGGGCGUGAGGCUCAGCGAGAAGCGCAGGGCGGCGUCCGGCCCGGCGCCCGAGGCGGCGGUCCGCGCCCCUGACGCCGCGGUCCCCGCGGGGCCGUCGCCGGAACCGGCCGGCCGUGACGCGCACGGGGCCGGGGCGCGCGGGGAGGCCGGGCCGGGGGCGCGGCGGGCCGGCGGCCGCUUCAGAGUGGCGGAGGGCCAGGAGCUGGACAGCGGCCCCGGCGGCCGCUCGGGAGGCCUCCUCUUCUUCUCGGCGGCCACGGCGGGCGGCGAGGGUCCGGGCGGGGCGCAGGCGGGCGCCGCCGCCUUGCGCGGGGCGCCGGGCUUCCGGGGCGGCGGGCGCGCGGCGGGGACCCCGGGGGCCGGGGUGGGCGGCGGCGGCGGCGCGGGCGGGAACGGCAUGGUGGUCAGCGCCCUGGAAGGAGAGGGGCGGCUACCGUGUGGGCGCGCCGAGCCCGGCGCCCUCCCCGGGGGGCCGCGGUCCGCCCCCCGCCCGCCCUCCGCACCCACCUGGGCUGGGCCGCGGCAUCUCCGGCGCACACACGCCCCCCGCGUCCACACCCAGGGCCCUGCGGCCGGGCACCCCGCUGCCUUCCUCCGUCCUGCCUUCCUUCCGGGGCCAGGGGCUCUGCCGGCUCUCCUCCGGGGACAGCGGCGGCCGGUCCACGCGGAGCCGGGCGCGCCCGCGGGAGGAGGAGCCGCUGUGCCCGCACGCCCGGCGCCGCGACUGGGCGGCCGAGGCUCCCCGGGCGACCUUCCACCGCGGGGGCUAAUCCAUCAGAGGCGGGGAAGGCCGGGCGUGUCCUCCGCCCGAGGCGGGGUCCUCGCACGUGGGCCAGAAAGUCGUGUGCCACCUCUCGGCGCUUCUAAGAUGGUGCGCAGGCCGGCGGCGGCGGGGGGACCGCGGGCCCCGCGCGCGGCCCGGCAUCCCAGUGUCGCGGGAGGAAGCUGGCCAGAGCUCAGAGGCGGGCACAGGCAUUUCAGGGCAUCCUUCUGGUUUUGUUUUUGGAUCAUGUUGAAAGACAAUCAUUUUAAAAUUAAAAACCUCGUAUUCCUUGACGAGGCAAAAAAAAAAAAAAGGCCAGUUUCGGUGAAAUCGUGA